Molecule: ribosomal RNA, 375 nt
Filed under: uncultured organism
Description: partial 16S ribosomal RNA
Rfam family: Bacterial small subunit ribosomal RNA
Source: RNAcentral
AGAGGGGUGCAAACGUUGUUCGGAAUCACUGGGCAUAAAGCGCACGUAGGCGGUCAAGUAAGUCAGGGUGUGAAAGCCCCCGGCUCAACCGGGGAAUUGCACUUGAUACUGCUUGACUCGAGGACGGUAGGGGUGAGUGGAACUCCAGGUGGAGCGGUGAAAUGCGUAGAUAUCUGGAGGAACACCGGUGGCGAAAGCGGCUCACUGGACCGUAUCAGACGCUGAGGUGCGAAAGCUAGGGUAGCAAACGGGAUUAGAUACCCCGGUAGUCCUAGCCGUAAACGAUGGGUACUGGGUAGGGGAGGCACCUAUGGCCUUCUCUGCCGGAGCUAAUGUGUUAAGUACCCCGCCUGGGGAGUACGCUCGCAAAGAGUA